RNAcentral lists this ribosomal RNA (1389 nucleotides) under Phyllymenia taiwanensis. RNAcentral's name for it is "bacterial SSU rRNA". It matches the Rfam family "Bacterial small subunit ribosomal RNA". The record is from RNAcentral. Lineage: Eukaryota; Rhodophyta; Florideophyceae; Halymeniales; Halymeniaceae.
UCAAAAAUAAAUUAAAAGAGUUUGAUCCUGGCUCAGAAUGAACGUUUAUAGUUGGCUUAACACAUGCAAAUUAAAUAAAUUUGUUUUAUUACAAAUCAAUAGUGAACGGGUGAGUAACAUAUAGAAAUUAGCCUCAAGAAAUUGUUUAAUUCAUGAAAAAAAUAUUUGUCUUGAGAAAAGUCUAUACAAGAUUAGAUUGUUGGUCAGUUAAAAGCUUACCAAGCCUAUGAUCUUUAGUUGGUCUUUGAGGAUGAACAACCACAUUGGAAUUGAGAACGGUCCAAACUUCAUUUGAAGGCAGCAGUGGGGAAUUUUGGGCAAUGAGCGAUAGCUUGACCCAGCUAAACUAUUUGAGUGACGAAGAUGUAUAAUUGUAAAACUCUUUACUAAACAAAAUACUGACUUGUUUAAGAAAAGUCCUGGCUAAUCCCGUGCCAGCAGCCGCGGUAAAACGGGAAGGGCAAACGUUAUUCGGAUUAAUUGGGCGUAAAGCAUAUGUAGGUGGUAAAUUAAGUUUCAAUUUAAAUUUUAAAGUUUAUUUUUAAAAAGAUUGUUAGACUAAUUUUCUAGAGUUCAGAAGAAGAUUAUGGAACUUUAAAUGUAACAGUAAAAUGUGUUGAUAUUUAAAAGAACCUCAAUGGCGAAAGCAGUAAUCUAGGCUGAUACUGACACUGAGAUAUCAAAGCGUGGGUAGCAAAAGGGAUUAGAUACCCCUGUAGUCCACGCCCUGAACGAUGAGUGUUAACUUUUGAAUUAAAGCAAAAGUAAAACUAACGUGUUUAGCACUCCGCCUGGGGACUACGAUCGCAAGAUUAAAACUCAAAGGAAUUGACGGGGACCUACACAAGCAGUGGAGCAUGUGGUUUAAAUCGAUAAUACGCGCGAAAUCUUACCAAUUUUUGAAUAACAUUAGUUACAGGUGUUGCAUGGCUGUCGUCAGUCCGUGCUGUGAAGCGUUUGGUUUAUUCCAAUAAACGGACGAAACUCUCAUAAGUUAUAAAACUUAAACCGUUAAGGACAUCUUAAAGGAAGGUGAGAACGACGUCAAGUCCUCAUGACCCUAAUAAAUUGGGCUACUUUCAUGUGCUACAAUAGUUUUUUCAAAAAGUAGCAAAAAUGUGAAUUUUAGCAAAACUAAAAACAAAACUAUAUUCGAAUUGUUUUCUGAAACUCGAAAGCAUGAAGUUGGAAUUGCUAGUAAUCGUAAAUAAGAAUGUUACGGUGAAUACGUUCUUAGGUCUUGUACACACCGCCCGUCACGCUAUGGGAAUUUAUUUUAUUUGAAGAUUACAAAGUAAUUUAUGGUAAAAUAAAAGACUGAAGUGAAGUCGUAACAAGGUAGCUGUAGGGGAACCUGCGGCUGGAAAAUUUAAAAUAUACUUCUACUAC